RNAcentral lists this ribosomal RNA (253 nucleotides) under uncultured bacterium. Its description in RNAcentral is "partial 16S ribosomal RNA". It matches the Rfam family "Bacterial small subunit ribosomal RNA", at positions 524 to 776 of the family's 1533-position model. The record is from RNAcentral.
UACAGAGGGUGCAAGCGUUACUCGGAAUUACUGGGCGUAAAGGGUGCGUAGGUGGUUCGAUAAGUUAAAUGUGAAAGCCCCGGGCUUAACCUGGGAACUGCGUUUAAUACUGUUGAGCUUGAGUACUGUAGAGGAAAGUGGAAUUACCGGUGUAGCGGUGAAAUGCGUAGAUAUCGGUAGGAACACCAGUGGCGAAGGCGACUUUCUGGACAGAUACUGACACUGAGGCACGAAAGCAUGGGGAGCAAACAGG